ACUCAAGGAUACAACAGCCUUGAUGAAGCUACAAUCCCAGGGGGGUCAUCUGGACUCAUUAGUUUUUACCGAUUCACUUCCCCCUAAACCCAUGGAGGCUUUGGGAAUAAAUAGCCAAGAUCUGAUAAAGAUUUCAGAAAGAUCGUUCCAGAUCACCCUCAUCCAACUUCAAGUACCCCAAGCCCUCUUAAAUGCCCCCCACUCCUGGUGUGUGUGUAGGCGGUCCUUGACUUACAGACGUGAACUUCAAAAUCACCAAGGUGCGCCCACAAACGAU
Molecule: long non-coding RNA, 277 nt
Organism: Suricata suricatta (meerkat)
Lineage: Eukaryota; Metazoa; Chordata; Mammalia; Carnivora; Herpestidae
Exons: 3
Source: RefSeq, a predicted model, not a curated record